CGGCACGUAGCUCAACAGAUCAGAGCGUCGGGCUUCGGACCCGAAGGAAGCAGGUGCAACUCCCGCCGUGCCGG
RNAcentral lists this transfer RNA (74 nucleotides) under Synergistaceae bacterium. RNAcentral's name for it is "tRNA-Arg". It matches the Rfam family "tRNA". Rfam says of the family: Transfer RNA (tRNA) molecules are approximately 80 nucleotides in length. The record is from RNAcentral. Lineage: Bacteria; Thermotogati; Synergistota; Synergistia; Synergistales; Synergistaceae.